AGGAGAGUAAGUUGUACCUGCUAUAACAGUUAUUGUCGAGAUAAUCCAGGGAGUAGUAUCAACAUUCUGAAAUGAAAAUAAAGAAGAAAUAUAAUCAAUGCACAGAACAUAUUUAUCAAAACAUAAAGCAAGGUACAAUUAUUAAGAAUCUACAUUAUAAAUUAUCUAAAGGUUAAACAAUUUCCCUUCCAUUAUACAUCCUCAUUAAAAGGGAAAAAGUUAAAGAGACAACAACC
RNAcentral lists this long non-coding RNA (236 nucleotides) under Mytilus galloprovincialis (Mediterranean mussel). Lineage: Eukaryota; Metazoa; Mollusca; Bivalvia; Mytilida; Mytilidae. The record is from RNAcentral.